GAUGAACGCUGGCGGCGUGCUUAACACAUGCAAGUCGAACGAUGAAGCUGGAGCUUGCUCUGGUGGAUUAGUGGCGAACGGGUGAGUAACACGUGAGCAACCUGCCCCUGACUCUGGGAUAACAGCCGGAAACGGCUGCUAAUACCGGAUAUGCACCAUGAACGCAUGUUCUGUGGUGGGAAAGAUUUUUCGGUUGGGGAUGGGCUCGCGGCCUAUCAGCUUGUUGGUGAGGUAAUGGCUCACCAAGGCGUCGACGGGUAGCCGGCCUGAGAGGGUGACCGGCCACACUGGGACUGAGGCACGGCCCAGACUCCUACGGGAGGCAGCAGUGGGGAAUAUUGCACAAUGGGCGAAAGCCUGAUGCAGCAACGCCGCGUGAGGGAUGACGGCCUUCGGGUUGUAAACCUCUUUUAGCAGGGAAGAAGCGAGAGUGACGGUACCUGCAGAAAAAGCGCCGGCUAACUACGUG
This 469-nucleotide ribosomal RNA is filed under the name uncultured bacterium. Its description in RNAcentral is "partial 16S ribosomal RNA". It matches the Rfam family "Bacterial small subunit ribosomal RNA", at positions 28 to 507 of the family's 1533-position model. The record is from RNAcentral.